RNAcentral lists this ribosomal RNA (2900 nucleotides) under Enterobacter hormaechei. Its description in RNAcentral is "23S ribosomal RNA". It matches the Rfam family "Bacterial large subunit ribosomal RNA". Lineage: Bacteria; Pseudomonadati; Pseudomonadota; Gammaproteobacteria; Enterobacterales; Enterobacteriaceae. The record is from RNAcentral.
GGUUAAGCGACUAAGCGUACACGGUGGAUGCCCUGGCAGUCAGAGGCGAUGAAGGACGUGCUAAUCUGCGAAAAGCGCCGGCGAGGUGAUAUGAACCUUUGACCCGGCGAUGUCCGAAUGGGGAAACCCAGUGCAAUCCGUUGCACUAUCGUUAACUGAAUACAUAGGUUAACGAGGCGAACCGGGGGAACUGAAACAUCUAAGUACCCCGAGGAAAAGAAAUCAACCGAGAUUCCCCCAGUAGCGGCGAGCGAACGGGGAGCAGCCCGGAGUCUGAAUCAGCUUGUGUGUUAGUGGAACGGUCUGGAAAGUCCGACGGUACAGGGUGAUAGUCCCGUACACGAAAGCACACUUGCUGUGAACUCGAAGAGUAGGGCGGGACACGUGGUAUCCUGUCUGAAUAUGGGGGGACCAUCCUCCAAGGCUAAAUACUCCUGACUGACCGAUAGUGAACCAGUACCGUGAGGGAAAGGCGAAAAGAACCCCGGCGAGGGGAGUGAAAAAGAACCUGAAACCGUGUACGUACAAGCAGUGGGAGCCUCUUUAUGGGGUGACUGCGUACCUUUUGUAUAAUGGGUCAGCGACUUAUAUUCUGUAGCAAGGUUAACCGUAUAGGGGAGCCGAAGGGAAACCGAGUCUUAACUGGGCGUUAAGUUGCAGGGUAUAGACCCGAAACCCGGUGAUCUAGCCAUGGGCAGGUUGAAGGUUGGGUAACACUAACUGGAGGACCGAACCGACUAAUGUUGAAAAAUUAGCGGAUGACCUGUGGCUGGGGGUGAAAGGCCAAUCAAACCGGGAGAUAGCUGGUUCUCCCCGAAAGCUAUUUAGGUAGCGCCUCGUGAACUCAUCUUCGGGGGUAGAGCACUGUUUCGGCUAGGGGGCCAUCCCGGCUUACCAACCCGAUGCAAACUACGAAUACCGAAGAAUGUUAUCACGGGAGACACACGGCGGGUGCUAACGUCCGUCGUGAAGAGGGAAACAACCCAGACCGCCAGCUAAGGUCCCAAAGUCAUGGUUAAGUGGGAAACGAUGUGGGAAGGCACAGACAGCCAGGAUGUUGGCUUAGAAGCAGCCAUCAUUUAAAGAAAGCGUAAUAGCUCACUGGUCGAGUCGGCCUGCGCGGAAGAUGUAACGGGGCUAAACCAUGCACCGAAGCUGCGGCAGCGACACUAGGUUGUUGGGUAGGGGAGCGUUCUGUAAGCCGUUGAAGGUGUCUGUGAGGGGCUGGAGGUAUCAGAAGUGCGAAUGCUGACAUAAGUAACGAUAAAGCGGGUGAAAAGCCCGCUCGCCGGAAGACCAAGGGUUCCUGUCCAACGUUAAUCGGGGCAGGGUGAGUCGACCCCUAAGGCGAGGCCGAAAGGCGUAGUCGAUGGGAAACAGGUUAAUAUUCCUGUACUUGGUGUUACUGCGAAGGGGGGACGGAGAAGGCUAUGUCAGCCGGGCGACGGUUGUCCCGGUUUAAGCAUGUAGGCGGAGGUUCCAGGUAAAUCCGGUACCUUGUUAACGCUGAGGUGUGAUGACGAGGCACUACGGUGCUGAAGUGAUAAAUGCCCUGCUUCCAGGAAAAGCCUCUAAGCAUCAGGUAACACGAAAUCGUACCCCAAACCGACACAGGUGGUCAGGUAGAGAAUACCAAGGCGCUUGAGAGAACUCGGGUGAAGGAACUAGGCAAAAUGGUGCCGUAACUUCGGGAGAAGGCACGCUGAUAUGUAGGUGAAGUCCCUGCGGACGGAGCUGAAAUCAGUCGAAGAUACCAGCUGGCUGCAACUGUUUAUUAAAAACACAGCACUGUGCAAACACGAAAGUGGACGUAUACGGUGUGACGCCUGCCCGGUGCCGGAAGGUUAAUUGAUGGGGUUAGCGGCAACGCGAAGCUCUUGAUCGAAGCCCCGGUAAACGGCGGCCGUAACUAUAACGGUCCUAAGGUAGCGAAAUUCCUUGUCGGGUAAGUUCCGACCUGCACGAAUGGCGUAAUGAUGGCCAGGCUGUCUCCACCCGAGACUCAGUGAAAUUGAACUCGCUGUGAAGAUGCAGUGUACCCGCGGCAAGACGGAAAGACCCCGUGAACCUUUACUAUAGCUUGACACUGAACACUGGUCCUUGAUGUGUAGGAUAGGUGGGAGGCUUUGAAGCGUGGACGCCAGUCUGCGUGGAGCCAACCUUGAAAUACCACCCUUUAAUGGCUGGUGUUCUAACGUAGACCCGUAAUCCGGGUUGCGGACAGUGUCUGGUGGGUAGUUUGACUGGGGCGGUCUCCUCCCAAAGAGUAACGGAGGAGCACGAAGGUUGGCUAAUCCUGGUCGGACAUCAGGAGGUUAGUGCAAUGGCAUAAGCCAGCUUGACUGCGAGCGUGACGGCGCGAGCAGGUGCGAAAGCAGGUCAUAGUGAUCCGGUGGUUCUGAAUGGAAGGGCCAUCGCUCAACGGAUAAAAGGUACUCCGGGGAUAACAGGCUGAUACCGCCCAAGAGUUCAUAUCGACGGCGGUGUUUGGCACCUCGAUGUCGGCUCAUCACAUCCUGGGGCUGAAGUAGGUCCCAAGGGUAUGGCUGUUCGCCAUUUAAAGUGGUACGCGAGCUGGGUUUAGAACGUCGUGAGACAGUUCGGUCCCUAUCUGCCGUGGGCGCUGGAGAAUUGAGGGGGGCUGCUCCUAGUACGAGAGGACCGGAGUGGACGCAUCACUGGUGUUCGGGUUGUCAUGCCAAUGGCACUGCCCGGUAGCUAAAUGCGGAAGAGAUAAGUGCUGAAAGCAUCUAAGCACGAAACUUGCCCCGAGAUGAGUUCUCCCUGAGACUUUAAGUCUCCUGAAGGAACGUUGAAGACGACGACGUUGAUAGGUCGGGUGUGUAAGCGCAGCGAUGCGUUGAGCUAACCGAUACUAAUGAACCGUGAGGCUUAACCUU